CAUAAAAUAGAUGCUAAGGCUUGGUUGAAUUUUUGCAAUAAAUUCACAAGUGUUCCCGUGCUAGCACAGAGCUGUUCUAUACAUCAUUACUUGCCCAAUUAAUCCAUUCAUUUUAAACAUGGCCUGUUUCUAACAGCCGUGUAGUGUGGGCUCUUUUCCCAUUUACUGCCAGAGGAAAAUCUGAACCAGCGCUCCACACCAUCUGCCAAAGAUUAAAAUUUCUUUAUGGCUCUGUUGCUUUUUGCUUUUGAAUAUUCAGGAUUUUUGCAGGUACCUUGUGAAAUAAGGAAAGCAAUAACAAGGGAGGUUCACCACCUUCUAGAAAAUGAAAUGUGGAACAAAUAGCCAUUAGAAAAAGUUUUAAAAGCACUGGAGCUAAUCAAGGCUUCUAUUAACUUCAAGGAUUUAGAUGCGCAGAGAUCAUAUACUCUUCGGGUAAUUUCUUUAUUUUUACUGCCCCAGUAAAUCAUGUAUCAUAGCAGCCUCUUUAUGAAAUUGUGUUUAAAAAUUUGUGCACAUAAAAAGGCCAUUAUAUUCAUGAUAAAUGGCUACAUUUCUAGUCACUGUACUGUCUUAAAACCGGCACGUAUAAUUUCACCAAUAGUGAUUAUCAGCUAAUUGAUGAUUGCAGUUUAAAUUUUAACUGCAUGGUGCUUCCUGGAUGUUGGCCAAGCACGGGGCAGGCGAGGAACGUGCGGGCUGUGAGGCGGGAACGGUACUGGAUCAGACCAGAUGAAUACCACCAGUAUGCACAAAUACAGAAAUGAGAUAGCACGAGUAACACCGAAAUGAAAUAGAAUGAGUUUGCAGAGAUAUUCAGGUAAUUCAGGGCUGCUUACGGUGGCCUGUGAUGGCAGUGCUGCUUCCUCUGCCCCUGCUUUGCAAAGAGGAUGCAAGAAAAGCCUUUUUUUCUUUACUUUUUCACAGUUAACAGUUUUAAAGCUGAAAAUGCUCAGUAUGAGGCUUACAUCAAGUCUACCUUUACUUGCUGACCUAUAUAUUACCUGUUCUGGUGCAAUAGCAAGUUACAACAUCUUUUUUCCAAACCACUAAUUGCAAAUAAGCAUUGCUGCCACAUUAUAUAAAGAGUAGCUGCUGCACAACAUCAGUCAUCAAAAUUAAAUGCAUUUAUUAAAAAUACGAAUACUCCCUCCAUAGUCAUGUCCUGGCCAGCACAUAUAGCAGGAAACCCGUGAGUCUGUGUCAGCGCUCCAGCAUUUACAUACUAUACAAACAAGAAUUAGGGGGCACGCUACUCAUUAGCCCUCUGCAUGUUAACACUGCAGCCCUGAAGGGCUGGAAGCGUCUGUUACAGUUAACAUCAUGGAAGAUCCCCUCUCUUCUCCCGAUUGUGACUUGCCAAAUCUUUGCAAUCUUGCCUGAAUUUCUCCAGACUCCGUGCUAAACGUCUGCUGGGCGAGCUUCAGCCGAGCCAAGAACAGCUACUGCCCAGUGGUGUCCGAGGGCAAGGCUGGCUGUGAACGUUUGGGAGCAGCAGCAUUGUUUUGCUGGUAUUAGAACUUACUGAGAUCUUUUCCCAGAAGACUAUUUCCACGUUCUGCAAUGAAGACCACAAAUUUGGCAGAGGAAGUGCUUUUGAGGCUACGCAUCCCACGAAAGCCUGACCGGAUUCAGGCAGCUGCCUCACUUGGGAAGAUGCUGGCUUUCCAAUGCUGGAGAAAUUAUGGUCUCCAUCACCCUCUUCGAGAUGGCUGAAGAGCUCCUCGGUGCCUGUGCCACCAGCCACCCCCGACAGCCCUGGCACGCGAGCAGAGGGGAUGCAGCUCCCACCAAAACGACUCUGCAGGCUCCAUUGGCAGCGAGCUGGAGGGUGGGAGAUGACACGGCGGCCAAAUAACAUGGGAUAAAGGGAGCUGGCCUGAGGAGCUGCCUGCCCACCGACAGGCCAGCUACAAACCAGUAGUCCUCAACAAGCAAAAUCCAUGAGAAUGGCUCCUUCUUCUGCACCUCCUCCAUUGCUGAGGCACGAACUCGGUCCCCUUAGGCAAAGCAGGCUGUAAAGUAUAGUGUGACACUAACGGGCUAUUUAGGAAAUUAAGGCAGAAUGUAUUAUUAAUAUGUUAUUCACCUGACAGAGCAGGAGACAGGAAUGGGAAGGAGGAAAAAUGGCUUUUUUUGCCUUCUCUUCACUUGUUCCUUUUAUUGUUCCUGUUUCUUUGCCUCGGGCUGUGACUGGAGAGCCCUAAUCCCAGGGGUGACAAAACCCCAGACCAGGAUGGGAAGGCUACCUGGGGCUGUAGGACAUUGGCUCUGGCAACCGCUACUGCCUCUUACGACUGACUGUGAGGGCAGCUAUUUUACCAGUGUUACUGCAAACUCUAACCACUUAAAAAUCAGGACUCGUACCUGGAAAAAUCACAAGGCUCCCAAUGCAAUUACAACCUACCUACACAGACACACAUACAUAUAGGGUACGCUCUGAGUCCUGCCUUCUCAGCUUUACAGGAGAAACAUCAGUGCAGUUGAGAUACCUCUAUCCCGAAUGCAAGACCAUUUCCAUGCAGACAGUCCUUAUUUUUCCUGCUGUUCCUGGGUGAUUUAACAUCUGACUUAGCUGUGCAGGUGGAAGGGACAGGGAAGAAAAUAAAAGACUAAAAUAGGCACGAGGUUUGUAGCUUGGAGAACGUUUCCAGUGUCAUGGCACAUCAGAUGCUCUACAUGUUUGCAUUUCAGAGGCUUUCGUAUUUUUCUUCCAAUUUCAAGGCUUGAAAAACUUGCUUUUGGAUGAAAGUCCCAGGAAUUCAGAAGCAAGCUAAUUUGUCUGAGGAGAUGAUAUGCAUUUCCUGACAACACCUGUGAAAUGUUAAAGUUUAAUUGGCCCAUACAGCUGCCACUGAUGGUAAUUUUAUUCCAGGACUAUUUCAGUUCUUUCCUACUAUAUUACUGUUUUAAUUCUGAUGUAAAAAAUCCGAAGUGCAUUUUAAAGAGAAGAAGUAAAAUACUGCAAGAGCAGUGGCUGUGAACACCUGGGUGUUCCUAACAGGCUUUGGCUGGUGUUUGCUGCAGGGUCGGGAUGGCCCAGAGGGUCCCAAACAUGCUGCCACGGCGGUGGGGAUGGCAUCCCCGGGUACCCAUGGCCCUUCCCGGGAUAAUGGUGCGGAAACCGUGGCCUUGACAGGGACACGGCAGCCAGGGGCAGCCAGACCAUGGACACUGGUUUAUUAAAUGGAGGAGACAGUGUUGCAGGUUUGUUCUGUUUCCUCCCUCUCUUCCAGUCCAUAUCCCACCGUGAACUGCCAGAAUCUUGUUUGGGAAAGAGCCAUUCAAAUGUAAACCCUUUUUCUGUCUGAGCUGCAGUAAGUGCUACAAUACUAGCGGACGCCUUACUUCAGGCUUUAGGAUCAUUCUCAGCCUUUGGUGCCAUAUAUAUUUAGCUCGUUAUUUGAUUUCCUACCAUGAAAAUAGCUCAGAGAGACCUUUCUCCACAACUGGUGCCAAUUGGUAUGGUCAGGACUAACUCGCAUUCCUGCAGAACCCCAAGCCGAAACCCAACCUCAAUACCUUGGGAAAUCUAGAAAACUGUAAUAUCUUUUAUUUUUUCCUUUUAUACACUAGCACUUACAUGAUGUGAAAGGGAGAGCUGCUUGUCAUUCCUCAAGACCUGUGCUGGAAUAUAGGUGCACAUUUCAGGAGGACAGGUCCCAAACUGUAAAUGUGCCAUUUCAGGGACUGCUACACUUACAUGAUACUGUAUUUAGGUCUUUCAUCCACCUGCACUGCAAGCAUCCUCACCGUCACAAAUCCAUACAGCUACAUAAAAGUAUUUAAACAGGGGGUGACUGCAUGCAUUUGUGGGAGGGAAUUAAGAAGGCCAGAGGAAAAACGUCCUCUUCCCAGCACAUGCUGUACUUUGUACACUGUAUUUAUCAUCAUCAGAUAACCUCUGUCCAUAGAAGCAGAGAGUUUGAGCUCACACUGACCGUGACAGCUGCCUCGGCACGGUCUGUUCCUACCACCAUCCCCUAACCCUCUAUGAUAUUUAUCUCUCCAAGGAGGAAAAGCUGUCUGAGGAUAACUAAUGGGAUUACAGCUCAAAAGCCCGGCAUUGUAAAGCAAGCAGCGCUUUAAAAAAAACAUGCUGAAAAGUUGUUUUUCCAGGAUGAUUACAUUCAAGCAAAAUAACCAUGACAAAGAUGGCAGGUAUUCAACGUAAAAAGCCUAAAUGAUUCACAACUGAGUCUAGGAAAAUUACUGCCAUAAAUUGGAGAAGAAAUGUGAAAAGAAACCUCGGGGUUCUCACGGGCGAGAUUUCAGCCCAGCAUAUGCCGUCCUGCACACCCAGCCCUGCAGCAGUGAGCUGCUCUGGGUGAAUGAGGACUGUUCAUCUGUCCAAGGAGCAGUCUGAGCAUUGGCAAUGCUCCAGAAUUGGGAAUUUUUAAAGCUUUUGAGCGAGAGAUUAUCAUCAGCACAAAAGGAAAGAGUCUUCUCUUUUUCUCUCUUCAACUUGGUGUGAAAUAAUUAAAAAACCAAAUAUAGGCGCUAUUCUUAGUUCGACGUGACCAGUAUUCCUCUUGCAUAGUGUCUUCUUCCACCAUUUAUUUCUUUCAAAGUAACGGGGCUAUGUAUCAACUACAGGGACCCAUAAUUAAUUCUGCAUGACAGCAAAAAUGUUUUGCAUUUAAAAAUAACUGAUGUGUGAGAAAAACAGAAUUUCACAAGGAGAUGGUUGUAAAGUACCUGGAUUUUUGGGGGGAUUCACAGAAAGUAUUUCAAUACGAAGCCACCCAGGCAAUAGCUUAGAAACUUCUAGCAACAGACACUUUUAUGAAGGGUGCACUGGAGGAGGUCAGACUGUCCCAGCUGGAACACCAGCCCUCCAGCCCAGGGCUGAAGGGCCUCAGAGCAGCAUCAACUCCUCCAUAACUCAGGAGCUGCUGGGGGGGGGCAGGGGACCCCCAGCCCUUCUCCCGAGCUGCACCAGAGCCCCUGCAGACACGGCACCUUGCUGCCCGCCCAGGCAGCAGCCAGAGGAGCAGCUCAGUACAUGUAAAUCAGCUGGGAGAGGUACAUUAUGAAUUUUUUCCCACUUAACUCACUAAUUGAAAUUAAAUGGAACUGAAACAUUAAUUGUUGAUGAGCUAGCCUCCAAGCCUACUAAUUUAAUGAUAAAGUGUUGUAAGGAAAAAAGCAUGUCAUAUAUAUUAAGAUAUACUGGACACGUCAGAUAUGGAUACAAAAGAUAAGCAAGACGCAUUUGCCAGUGGAAAUACAAUGUGCCUCACAUUUUACUCUCUUCUGUUGUUCACACUUCUGAAGCAACAUACAUAAUUUCUCUUUUCAAGUGUGAUAGCGUGUUAUAUCGGAUUUUAUAGAGAUACUCUAUGUGCCAUGAAAAAUUGAGACCUGCUGAUUUUUAAAAUGAAGCUUGCCUGUAAUACUAGUGCAUACUAUUUUAAAAUACAUAUUUAGCCCAUGUUUGGCUUUCAGUAAAGCCAUCUUUGGCUCUACAGAUACAACAGCACCUUUCUAGUUUAACUCAGGAAUGUAUUCCCCAGCCCCUCAGAGGUUCAAUUAAAGUUUCAUAUCUUUAAUAAACAGCAGAGUGCACUUCAAAGGAAUCGGAGAACAUUCUUGUGAAUUACCUCAGGAAGGCAAUCGGUCCCUGUAAAUAAAGCGGAGUGCACAGAGGAGCGAUGCACUGGGGUAAAGCCCUUGGCGAGGCACUUUACAAUCAGGCUGCCUAGCAAUCAUCCCAGCAUCAGCCCCAUCUCAGAACAGAAGCAGACAUCGAGCUUGAUUGUGAUAAAUGGAAGCACUUUCAGCUAGAUGACUUACUCUGGACUCAGAGGGACAGAUUUACUGCCACUAUGUUUAUAGAAAAGCAGCCUGCCCUGUAAUGGAGAGCAGAUCUGGCACAGACCCGGAAAAGGAGCUGUCUUCACCCCUCCCAGCCUAACCACGACGCUUUCUUGUUACCGACAAUGUUUCCAAACUCCCCGUCUGCAGGAACCACGUUAAUGUGAAGGGGACAGCUAUGGGCAGGAGGCUGGCAGCAACGAGCCUGUACUUUACAAGCAAGGAAAUUUUGUCAAAUACCACUAGGUGACAACGGAUCUUCUUCUAGAAGAAGUUUCUAACAAUGCAUUUCUAUUUCUGGAACAAACAGCCUAACUGUUAUCCCUUAAACAGACAAAUUUUAAUUAAUUUUAAUUGCAAAUUAACAUGCAAAUUUAUUUUUCUUAUCUACUUAAAAAUGACGACGAUACAAAUCAAUUGUCUGUAUAAAUUUAGAAAUCCUCUUUUGGUUUCUUCUUGCUUUUUUGUAUUAUUCCACAGACUACUAAAAAUAGCACUAAUUCUGCUGGGAAAUACAGGCCAAGCUAAUAGUUACCGAAACAACAAAGUGCUUUUGUUCACUUUUGAGCUGCAUAAAAUGAGCAGAACUAGUA
This is a long non-coding RNA of Aquila chrysaetos chrysaetos, 6410 nucleotides long. RefSeq lists it as uncharacterized. The transcript has 4 exons. The record is from RefSeq and is a predicted model, not a curated record. Lineage: Eukaryota; Metazoa; Chordata; Aves; Accipitriformes; Accipitridae.